This 303-nucleotide ribosomal RNA is filed under the name uncultured bacterium. RNAcentral's name for it is "partial 16S ribosomal RNA". It matches the Rfam family "Bacterial small subunit ribosomal RNA", at positions 507 to 807 of the family's 1533-position model. The record is from RNAcentral.
AGCAGUCGCCGCGGGAAUACAGAGGGUGCGAGCGUUAAUCGGAUUUACUGGGCGUAAAGCGUGCGUAGGCGGCUAAUUGAGUCGGAUGUGAAAUCCCCGAGCUUAACUUGGGAAUUGCAUUCGAUACUGGUUAGCUAGAGUGUGGGAGAGGAUGGUAGAAUUCCAGGUGUAGCGGUGAAAUGCGUAGAGAUCUGGAGGAAUACCGAUGGCGAAGGCAGCCAUCUGGCCUAACACUGACGCUGAGGUACGAAAGCAUGGGGAGCAAACAGGAUUAGAUACCCCGGUAGUCCCUGUCUCUUAUAC